GAAAUGCGAUAAGCAAUGUGAAUUGCAGAAUUCAGUGAAUCAUCGAAUCUUUGAACGCACCUUGCGCUCCUUGGUAUUCCUUGGAGCAUGCCUGUUUGAGUAUCAUGAAAUCUUCAAAGUAAAUCUUUUGUUAACUCAAUUGGUUUCUACUUUGGUAUUGGAGGUCUUUGCAGCUUCACACCUGCUCCUCUUUGUUCAUUAGCUGGAUCUCAGUGUUAUGCUUGGUUCCACUCGGCGUGAUAAGUUAUCUAUCGCCGAGGACACUGUAAAAGGUGGCCAAGGUAAAUGCAGAUGAACCGCUUCUAAUAGUCCAUUGACUUGGACAAUACUUUUAUGAUCUGAUCUCAAAUCAGGUAGGACUACCCGCUGAACUUAAGC
Molecule: unclassified non-coding RNA, 378 nt
Filed under: plant metagenome
Description: partial contains 5.8S ribosomal RNA, internal transcribed spacer 2, and large subunit ribosomal RNA
Rfam family: 5.8S ribosomal RNA (bases 1-105)
Source: RNAcentral